This 254-nucleotide ribosomal RNA is filed under the name uncultured bacterium. RNAcentral describes it as "partial 16S ribosomal RNA". It matches the Rfam family "Bacterial small subunit ribosomal RNA", at positions 524 to 776 of the family's 1533-position model. The record is from RNAcentral.
UACGAAGGUCCCGAGCGUUGUUCGGAAUCACUGGGCGUAAAGGGAGCGUAGGCGGCGUGGUAAGUCAGAUGUGAAAUCCCGGGGCUCAACCCCGGAACUGCAUCCGAUACUGCCAUGCUAGAGGAUUGGAGAGGUAGCUGGAAUUCUUGGUGUAGCAGUGAAAUGCGUGGAGAUCAAAGAGGAACACUCGUGGCGAAAGCGAGCUACUGGACAAUAUCUGACGCUGAGGCUCGAAGGCCAGGGUAGCGAAAGGG